UGGUAGGAUAGAGGCCUACCAUGGUGGUAACGGGUAACGGGGUGUUAGGGCACGACACCGGAGAGGGAGCCUGAGAAACGGCUACCACAUCCAAGGAUGGCAGCAGGCGCGCAAAUUACCCAAUCCCGACACGGGGAGGUAGUGACAAUAAAUAACAAUACGGGGUUCUUUCGGAUCUCGUAAUUGGAAUGAGUACAAUUUAAAUCUCUUAACGAGGAACAAUUGGAGGGCAAGUCUGGUGCCAGCAGCCGCGGUAAUUCCAGCUCCAAUAGCGUAUAUUAAAGUUGUUGCAGUUAAAAAGCUCGUAGUUGAAUUUCGGGGUUAGUAGGUUGGUCAUGCCUCUGGUAUGUACUGGUCUCACUGAUUCUUCCUUCCUGAUGAACCGUAAUGCCAUUAAUUUGGUGUUGCGGGGAAUUUGGACUGUUACUUUGAAAAAUUAGAGUGUUUAAAGCAAGCUAACGCUUGAAUACAUUAGCAUGGAAUAAUGAAAUAGGACGUUCGAUCCUAUUUUGUUGGUUUCUAGGAUUGACGUAAUGAUUAAUAGGGAUAGUUGGGGGCAUUAGUAUUCAAUUGUCAGAGGUGAAAUUCUUGGAUUUAUUGAAGACUAACUACUGCGAAAGCAUUUGCCAAGGAUGUUUUCAUUAAUCGAGAACGAAAGUUAGGGGAUCGAAGACGAUCAGAUACCGUCGUAGUCUUAACCAUAAACUAUGCCGACUAGGGAUCGGA
This 726-nucleotide ribosomal RNA is filed under the name uncultured fungus. Its description in RNAcentral is "SSU rRNA". It matches the Rfam family "Eukaryotic small subunit ribosomal RNA", at positions 326 to 1057 of the family's 1831-position model. Lineage: Eukaryota; Fungi. The record is from RNAcentral.